This 459-nucleotide ribosomal RNA is filed under the name uncultured Acidovorax sp. Its description in RNAcentral is "bacterial SSU rRNA". It matches the Rfam family "Bacterial small subunit ribosomal RNA", at positions 920 to 1382 of the family's 1533-position model. Lineage: Bacteria; Pseudomonadati; Pseudomonadota; Betaproteobacteria; Burkholderiales; Comamonadaceae. The record is from RNAcentral.
CCCGCACAAGCGGUGGAUGAUGUGGUUAAUUCGAUGCAACGCGAAAACUUACCACCUUUGACAUGUACGGAAGUCCUUUAGAGAUAGAGGAGUGCUCGAAAGAGAGCCGUAACACAGGUGCUGCAUGGCUGUCGUCAGCUCGUGUCGUGAGAUGUUGGGUUAAGUCCCGCAACGAGCGCAACCCUUGUCAUUAGUUGCUACAUUCAGUUGGGCACUCUAAUGAGACUGCCGGUGACAAACCGGAGGAAGGUGGGGAUGACGUCAAGUCCUCAUGGCCCUUAUAGGUGGGGCUACACACGUCAUACAAUGGAUGGUACAAAGGGUCGCCAACCCGCGAGGGGGAGCCAAUCCCAUAAAGCCAUUCGUAGUCCGGAUCGCAGUCUGCAACUCGACUGCGUGAAGUCGGAAUCGCUAGUAAUCGUGGAUCAGAAUGUCACGGUGAAUACGUUCCCGGGUCUU